This 443-nucleotide ribosomal RNA is filed under the name uncultured bacterium. Its description in RNAcentral is "partial 16S ribosomal RNA". It matches the Rfam family "Bacterial small subunit ribosomal RNA", at positions 338 to 795 of the family's 1533-position model. The record is from RNAcentral.
CCUACGGGAGGCAGCAGUGGGGAAUAUUGGGCAAUGGGCGCAAGCCUGACCCAGCAACGCCGCGUGAAGGAAGAAGGCUUUCGGGUUGUAAACUUCUUUUAAGAGGGAAGAGCAGAAGACGGUACCUCUUGAAUAAGCCACGGCUAACUACGUGCCAGCAGCCGCGGUAAUACGUAGGGGGCAAGCGUUAUCCGGAUUUACUGGGUGUAAAGGGAGCGUAGGUGGCAUGGUAAGCCAGAAGUGAAAACCCGGGGCUCAACCCCGCGGAUUGCUUUUGGAACUAUCAGGCUGGAGUGCUGGAGGGGUAAGCGGAAUUCCUAGUGUAGCGGUGAAAUGCGUAGAUAUUAGGAGGAACACCGGUGGCGAAGGCGGCUUACUGGACAGAAACUGACACUGAGGCUCGAAAGCGUGGGGAGCAAACAGGAUUAGAUACCCUUGUAGUC